GAUGAAGAACGUAGCGAAAUGCGAUGAGUAAUGUGAAUUGCAGAAUUCAGUGAAUCAUCGAAUCUUUGAACGCACCUUGCGCUCCUUGGUAUUCCGAGGAGCAUGCCUGUUUGAGUGUCAUGAAAUUCUCAACCUUUUCAGCUUUCUUUGUUGAUCAGGCUUGGAUGUGGGAGUAUGCGGGCUUCUCAGAAGUCGGCUCUCCUGAAAUGCAUUAGCGGGACCUUUGUUGCCUGGCUUUGGUGUGAUAAUUAUCUACGCCAUUGUAGUCAAGCAGCUUAAAAUGAGGUUUCAGCUUCUAACCGUCUCCCCUGAGACAACUUUUUGACAAUUUGACCUCAAAUCAGGUAGGACUACCCGCUGAACUUAAGCAUAUCAAUAAGCGGAGGA
Molecule: unclassified non-coding RNA, 387 nt
Filed under: soil metagenome
Description: partial contains 5.8S ribosomal RNA, internal transcribed spacer 2, and large subunit ribosomal RNA
Rfam family: 5.8S ribosomal RNA (bases 1-120)
Source: RNAcentral